Molecule: small nuclear RNA, 97 nt
Filed under: Nomascus leucogenys (northern white-cheeked gibbon)
Lineage: Eukaryota; Metazoa; Chordata; Mammalia; Primates; Hylobatidae
Source: RNAcentral
GUGCUUCCUUCGGCAUCGUAUACACUAAAAUUGGAACAAUACAGAGAAGAUGAAUAUGGCUCCUGCUCAAGGAUUUUUAAAAAUAAUUAAAAUGGGU